RNAcentral lists this ribosomal RNA (115 nucleotides) under Pteropus alecto (black flying fox). Lineage: Eukaryota; Metazoa; Chordata; Mammalia; Chiroptera; Pteropodidae. The record is from RNAcentral.
CCCAGCAAGGAUUAAGAAACAAGCCCCAUCCCGUGUGAUCUCAGAAGCUAAGGAGGGUCGGGCCUGGUUAGUACUUGGAUGGGAGACCGCCUAGGAAGACCAGGUGCUGCAGGCC